CCUACAAUGAAGAGUAACUUGCUCGACUUUCGUUCUUCUGAAAUUGCUGAAGCAAAUUAUUGCAUCUGAGAAGG
This 74-nucleotide small nucleolar RNA is filed under the name Leptobrachium leishanense (Leishan spiny toad). Its description in RNAcentral is "Small nucleolar RNA SNORD59 (ENSLLEG00000007413.1)". It matches the Rfam family "Small nucleolar RNA SNORD59". Rfam says of the family: U59 belongs to the C/D class of snoRNA which contain the C (UGAUGA) and D (CUGA) box motifs. The record is from Rfam by way of RNAcentral. Lineage: Eukaryota; Metazoa; Chordata; Amphibia; Anura; Megophryidae.